UGGGGAAUAUUGCACAAUGGGCGCAAGCCUGAUGCAGCCAUGCCGCGUGUAUGAAGAAGGCCUUCGGGUUGUAAAGUACUUUCAGCGGGGAGGAAGGGAGUAAAGUUAAUACCUUUGCUCAUUGACGUUACCCGCAGAAGAAGCACCGGCUAACUCCGUGCCAGCAGCCGCGGUAAUACGGAGGGUGCAAGCGUUAAUCGGAAUUACUGGGCGUAAAGCGCACGCAGGCGGUUUGUUAAGUCAGAUGUGAAAUCCCCGGGCUCAACCUGGGAACUGCAUCUGAUAAUGGCAAGCUUGAGUCUCGUAGAGGGGGGUAGAAUUCCAGGUGUAGCGGUGAAAUGCGUAGAGAUCUGGAGGAAUACCGGUGGCGAAGGCGGCCCCCUGGACGAAGACUGACGCUCAGGUGCGAAAGCGUGGGGAGCAAACAGG
RNAcentral lists this ribosomal RNA (429 nucleotides) under Chloroflexota bacterium. RNAcentral describes it as "Chloroflexi bacterium partial 16S ribosomal RNA". It matches the Rfam family "Bacterial small subunit ribosomal RNA", at positions 355 to 776 of the family's 1533-position model. The record is from RNAcentral. Lineage: Bacteria; Bacillati; Chloroflexota.